CGCUUUAGGCCCUCCGGGCUGCGCCGCUCCUCAGUGCUCUGAGCUGCUUCGCUGGUCCGAGCCUUAGGCCGGCUCGACGGGGACCUCAGUGCACGCAUGGACCUGCCCGCGCCCGGCGGGAAGCGGCCAGGCUGGCGGUGGCCCGGGCGGCGGAGCAGGGCCGAGGCAGCGGGCCCCUGAGCGCGCGCCCUGCAGGCCGGGCCGCAGCACCAUGAUGCCCGGCGAAACGCACCCGGCGGCGCCCGGGCCAGCCGACCUCGCGCGGUGUCAAGGCUGCGCCUCCCUGCAGCAGAACUUAAAUGAAUAUGUUGAAGCAUUAAUUGCCUUGAAACAAAAAAUUAUUAAUACAGAUAACCUGCUGACAGAAUAUCAGAAGAAAUGUGAUGAUAUCCUUUGCUU
Molecule: long non-coding RNA, 399 nt
Filed under: Rattus norvegicus (Norway rat)
Lineage: Eukaryota; Metazoa; Chordata; Mammalia; Rodentia; Muridae
Description: long non-coding RNA NONRATT000134
Source: RNAcentral